ACGGGUGAGUAAUGCCUAGGAAAUUGCCUUGAUGUGGGGGAUAACCAUUGGAAACGAUGGCUAAUACCGCAUAAUGCCUACGGGCCAAAGAGGGGGACCUUCGGGCCUCUCGCGUCAAGAUAUGCCUAGGUGGGAUUAGCUAGUUGGUGAGGUAAUGGCUCACCAAGGCGACGAUCCCUAGCUGGUCUGAGAGGAUGAUCAGCCACACUGGAACUGAGACACGGUCCAGACUCCUACGGGAGGCAGCAGUGGGGAAUAUUGCACAAUGGGCGAAAGCCUGAUGCAGCCAUGCCGCGUGUAUGAAGAAGGCCUUCGGGUUGUAAAGUACUUUCAGUUGUGAGGAAGGGGGUGGCGUUAAUAGCGGUAUCUCUUGACGUUAGCAACAGAAGAAGCACCGGCUAACUCCGUGCCAGCAGCCGCGGUAAUACGGAGGGUGCGAGCGUUAAUCGGAAUUACUGGGCGUAAAGCGCAUGCAGGUGGUUCAUUAAGUCAGAUGUGAA
Molecule: ribosomal RNA, 500 nt
Filed under: Vibrio gigantis
Lineage: Bacteria; Pseudomonadati; Pseudomonadota; Gammaproteobacteria; Vibrionales; Vibrionaceae
Description: bacterial SSU rRNA
Rfam family: Bacterial small subunit ribosomal RNA
Source: RNAcentral